CCUACGGGCGGCUGCAGCGGGGAAUAUUGCACAAUGGGCGCAAGCCUGAUGCAGCCAUGCCGCGUGUGUGAAGAAGGCCUUCGGGUUGUAAAGCACUUUCAGCGGGGAGGAAGGCGUUAAGGUUAAUAACCUUGGCGAUUGACGUUACCCGCAGAAGAAGCACCGGCUAACUCCGUGCCAGCAGCCGCGGUAAUACGGAGGGUGCAAGCGUUAAUCGGAAUUACUGGGCGUAAAGCGCACGCAGGCGGUCUGUCAAGUCGGAUGUGAAAUCCCCGGGCUCAACCUGGGAACUGCAUUCGAAACUGGCAGGCUAGAGUCUUGUAGAGGGGGGUAGAAUUCCAGGUGUAGCGGUGAAAUGCGUAGAGAUCUGGAGGAAUACCGGUGGCGAAGGCGGCCCCCUGGACAAAGACUGACGCUCAGGUGCGAAAGCGUGGGGAGCAAACAGGAUUAGAUACCCGGUAGUC
This 464-nucleotide ribosomal RNA is filed under the name uncultured Klebsiella sp. RNAcentral describes it as "bacterial SSU rRNA". It matches the Rfam family "Bacterial small subunit ribosomal RNA", at positions 338 to 795 of the family's 1533-position model. The record is from RNAcentral. Lineage: Bacteria; Pseudomonadati; Pseudomonadota; Gammaproteobacteria; Enterobacterales; Enterobacteriaceae.